UUAAGUUAGAAAGGGCGCACGGUGGAUGCCUUGACACUAGGAGUCGAUGAAGGACGGGACUAACGCCGAUAUGCUUCGGGGAGCUGUAAGUAAGCUUUGAUCCGAAGAUUUCCGAAUGGGGAAACCCACAUACGUAAUGGUAUGGUAUCCUUAUCUGAAUACAUAGGGUAAGGAAGACAGACCCAGGGAACUGAAACGUCUAAGUACCUGGAGGAAGAGAAAGCAAAUGCGAUUUCCUGAGUAGCGGCGAGCGAAACGGAACAUAGCCCAAACCAAGAGGCUUGCCUCUUGGGGUUGUAGGACAUUCUAUACGGAGUUACAAAGGAACGAGGUAGACGAAGCGACCUGGAAAGGUCCGUCGUAGAGGGUAACAACCCCGUAGUCGAAACUUCGUUCUCUCUUGAAUGUAUCCUGAGUACGGCGGAACACGUGAAAUUCCGUCGGAAUCUGGGAGGACCAUCUCCCAAGGCUAAAUACUCCCUAGUGAUCGAUAGUGAACCAGUACCGUGAGGGAAAGGUGAAAAGCACCCGGAAGGGGAGUGAAAGAGAUCCUGAAACCGUGUGCCUACAAAUAGUCAGAGCCCGUUAAUGGGUGAUGGCGUGCCUUUUGUAGAAUGAACCGGCGAGUUACGAUCCCGUGCGAGGUUAGGCUGAAGAGGCGGAGCCGCAGCGAAAGCGAGUCUGAAUAGGGCGUUUAGUACGUGGUCGUAGACCCGAAACCAGGUGAUCUACCCAUGUCCAGGGUGAAGUUCAGGUAACACUGAAUGGAGGCCCGAACCCACGCACGUUGAAAAGUGCGGGGAUGAGGUGUGGGUAGCGGAGAAAUUCCAAUCGAACCUGGAGAUAGCUGGUUCUCCCCGAAAUAGCUUUAGGGCUAGCCUUAAGUGUAAGAGUCUUGGAGGUAGAGCACUGAUUGGACUAGGGUCCUCAUCGGAUUACCGAAUUCAGUCAAACUCCGAAUGCCAAUGACUUAUCCUUAGGAGUCAGACUGCGAGUGAUAAGAUCCGUAGUCAAAAGGGAAACAGCCCAGACCGCCAGCUAAGGUCCCAAAGUGUGUAUUAAGUGGAAAAGGAUGUGGAGUUGCUUAGACAACUAGGAUGUUGGCUUAGAAGCAGCCACCAUUUAAAGAGUGCGUAAUAGCUCACUAGUCGAGUGACUCUGCGCCGAAAAUGUACCGGGGCUAAAUACACCACCGAAGCUGCGGAUUGAUACCAAUGGUAUCAGUGGUAGGGGAGCGUUCUAAGGACAGUGAAGUCAGACCGGAAGGACUGGUGGAGUGCUUAGAAGUGAGAAUGCCGGUAUGAGUAGCGAAAGACGGGUGAGAAUCCCGUCACCGAAUGCCUAAGGUUUCCUGAGGAAGGCUCGUCCGCUCAGGGUUAGUCAGGACCUAAGCCGAGGCCGACAGGCGUAGGCGAUGGACAACAGGUUGAUAUUCCUGUACCACCUCUUUAUCGUUUGAGCAAUGGAGGGACGCAGAAGGAUAGAAGAAGCGUGCGAUUGGUUGUGCACGUCCAAGCAGUUAGGCUGAUAAGUAGGCAAAUCCGCUUAUCGUGAAGGCUGAGCUGUGAUGGGGAAGCUCCUUAUGGAGCGAAGUCUUUGAUUCCCCGCUGCCAAGAAAAGCUUCUAGCGAGAUAAAAGGUGCCUGUACCGCAGACCGACACAGGUAGGCGAGGAGAGAAUCCUAAGGUGUGCGAGAGAACUCUGGUUAAGGAACUCGGCAAAAUGACCCCGUAACUUCGGGAGAAGGGGUGCUUUCUUAACGGAAAGCCGCAGUGAAUAGGCCCAAGCGACUGUUUAGCAAAACACAGCUCUCUGCGAAGCCGUAAGGCGAAGUAUAGGGGUGACACCUGCCCGGUGCUGGAAGGUUAAGGAGAGGGGUUAGCGUAAGCGAAGCUCUGAACUGAAGCCCCAGUAAACGGCGGCCGUAACUAUAACGGUCCUAAGGUAGCGAAAUUCCUUGUCGGGUAAGUUCCGACCGCACGAAAGGUGUAACGAUUUGGGCACUGUCUCAACCAGAGACUCGGUGAAAUUAUAGUACCUGUGAAGAUGCAGGUUACCCGCGACAGGACGGAAAGACCCCGUGGAGCUUUACUGUAGCCUGAUAUUGAAUUUGGUACAGUUUGUACAGGAUAGGCGGGAGCCUUUGAAACCGGAGCGCUAGCUUCGGUGGAGGCGCUGGUGGGAUACCGCCCUGACUGUAUUGAAAUUCUAACCUACGGGUCUUAUCGACCCGGGAGACAGUGUCAGGUGGGCAGUUUGACUGGGCGGUCGCCUCCUAAAGUGUAACGGAGGCGCCCAAAGGUUCCCUCAGAAUGGUUGGAAAUCAUUCGUAGAGUGC
Molecule: ribosomal RNA, 2338 nt
Filed under: Bacillus anthracis (anthrax bacterium)
Lineage: Bacteria; Bacillati; Bacillota; Bacilli; Caryophanales; Bacillaceae
Description: bacterial LSU rRNA
Rfam family: Bacterial large subunit ribosomal RNA
Source: RNAcentral